RNAcentral lists this unclassified non-coding RNA (279 nucleotides) under plant metagenome. RNAcentral describes it as "partial contains small subunit ribosomal RNA, internal transcribed spacer 1, and 5.8S ribosomal RNA". The record is from RNAcentral.
GUUCCGUAGGUGAACCUGCGGAAGGAUCAUUAUUGUAUAACCGAUGUUCGGGUUCUUUCGCUGACUUGACUGGUCGUGCACGCGCGAGUGCCCUCGCACACAUCCAUCUCGCCCCUAUGUCCGCCACCGCAUUGGUCCUCCUUUAGCGUACUCUACGUGUGGCUACCGUUGUCACACAAACGUUAUGGACAGUGUAGCAUGUGUUUUGUGUUUUUGCGAAGACGCAAUCAAGACAACUUUCAAGAACUGAUGUCUUGCCGCUCGCAUCGAUAAAGAACC